Molecule: unclassified non-coding RNA, 79 nt
Filed under: Gramella sp. MAR_2010_147
Lineage: Bacteria; Pseudomonadati; Bacteroidota; Flavobacteriia; Flavobacteriales; Flavobacteriaceae
Description: Flavo-1 RNA
Source: RNAcentral
UUUUUGCGUUAGGGAUUGCAGCGGAAAGCCUACAGCGACUAUAAGGAGCGAAGACUUGAAGCGUAAAGCCCGGCGCGAA